RNAcentral lists this ribosomal RNA (895 nucleotides) under uncultured archaeon. RNAcentral's name for it is "bacterial SSU rRNA". It matches the Rfam family "Archaeal small subunit ribosomal RNA", at positions 5 to 879 of the family's 1478-position model. The record is from RNAcentral.
CGGUUGAUCCCGCCGGACCCCACUGCUAUCGGGAUAGGACUAAGACAUGCUAGUCGAGCGCCUCCCAAUGUUGAGACGCGGCGCACGGCUCAGUAACUCGCGGCCAACCUGCCCUUGGGACAGGGAUAACCCCGGGAAACUGGGGGUAAUCCCUGAUAGGUGAGAGUCCCUGGAAGGGGUUCUCGCUGAAAGGACGUUUAGACCAUGCUUCUAGGCGUCGCCCAAGGAGGGGGCCGCGACCGAUCAGGUUGUUGGUGAGGUAACGGCUCACCAAGCCUUUAACCGGUACGGGCCGUGAGAGCGGAAGCCCGGAGAUGGGCACUGAGACAAGGGCCCAGGCCCUACGGGGCGCAGCAGUCGCGAAAACUCCGCAAUACACGAAAGUGUGACGGGGCUAUCCCGAGUGCCAUCCGCUGAGGAUGGCUUUUCCCCAGUGUAUAAAGCUGGGGGAAUAAGGAGAGGGCAAGCCUGGUGUCAGCCGCCGCGGUAAUACCAGCUCUCCGAGUGGUGGGGAUGCUUAUUGGGCCUAAAGCAUUCGUAGCCGGCCGGGCAAGUCCUCCGUUAAAUCCAACGAUUCAAUCGUUGGGCUGCGGGGGAUACUGUCCGGCUAGGGGGCGGGAGAGGCCGACGGUAUUCUCGGGGUAGGGGUGAAAUCCUAUAAUCCCGGGAGGACCACCAGUGGCGAAGGCUGUCGGCUAGAACGCGCUCGACGGUGAGGGAUGAAAGCUGGGGGAGCGAACCGGAUUAGAUACCCGGGUAGUCCCAGCUGUAAACGAUGCAGGCUAGGUGUUGGGGCGGCUACGUGCCGCUCCAGUGCCGCAGGGAAGCCGUUAAGCCUGCCGCCUGGGAAGUACGGCCGCAAGGCUGAAACUUAAAGGAAUUGGCGGGGGAGCAC